ACGGACAAGUUGAAGCUCCCGCUUCACGCCCGCAAACGCUUUUAGUGGUGACCGGGUAAAUUGGGAAAUGCAGGCUCAGUAACUAUUGGGCCUGCAACUUCUAAGGCGGGUGCAGUAAUGCUCCCGCCUUUUUUGUUCGUU
This 141-nucleotide small RNA is filed under the name Jeotgalicoccus saudimassiliensis. RNAcentral describes it as "L20_leader". The record is from RNAcentral. Lineage: Bacteria; Bacillati; Bacillota; Bacilli; Caryophanales; Staphylococcaceae.